RNAcentral lists this transfer RNA (71 nucleotides) under Ipomoea nil (Japanese morning glory). It matches the Rfam family "tRNA". From Rfam's summary of the family: Transfer RNA (tRNA) molecules are approximately 80 nucleotides in length. Their secondary structure includes four short double-helical elements and three loops (D, anti-codon, and T loops). The record is from Rfam by way of RNAcentral. Lineage: Eukaryota; Viridiplantae; Streptophyta; Magnoliopsida; Solanales; Convolvulaceae.
GCACUAGUGGUUUAGUGGUAGAAUAGUACCCUGCCACGGAAUAGACUCGGGUUUGAUUCCCAGCUGGUGAA